GACGAACGCUGGCGGCGUGCCUAAUACAUGCAAGUUGAGCGCUGAAGGUUGGUACUUGUACCAACUGGAUGAGCAGCGAACGGGUGAGUAACGCGUGGGGAAUCUGCCUUUGAGCGGGGGACAACAUUUGGAAACGAAUGCUAAUACCGCAUAAAAACUUUAAACACAAGUUUUAAGUUUGAAAGAUGCAAUUGCAUCACUCAAAGAUGAUCCCGCGUUGUAUUAGCUAGUUGGUGAGGUAAAGGCUCACCAAGGCGAUGAUACAUAGCCGACCUGAGAGGGGGAUCGGCCACAGUGGGACUGAGACACGGCCCAAAAUCCUACGGGAGGCAGCAGUAGGGAAUCUUCGGCAAUGGACGAAAGUCUGACCGAGCAACGCCGCGUGAGUGAAGAAGGUUUUCGGAUCGUAAAACUCUGUUGGUAGAGAAGAACGUUGGUGAGAGUGGAAAGCUCAUCAAGUGACGGUAACUACCCAGAAAGGGACGGCUAACUACGUG
Molecule: ribosomal RNA, 497 nt
Filed under: uncultured bacterium
Lineage: Bacteria
Description: partial 16S ribosomal RNA
Rfam family: Bacterial small subunit ribosomal RNA
Source: RNAcentral